CGGCGGACGGGUGAGUAACGCGUGGGUAACCUGCCUCAUACAGGGGGAUAACAGUUGGAAACGGCUGCUAAUACCGCAUAAGCGCACAGUGCCGCAUGGUACCGUGUGAAAAACUCCGGUGGUAUGAGAUGGACCCGCGUCUGAUUAGCUAGUUGGUGGGGUAACGGCCUACCAAGGCGACGAUCAGUAGCCGACCUGAGAGGGUGACCGGCCACAUUGGGACUGAGACACGGCCCAA
This 238-nucleotide ribosomal RNA is filed under the name uncultured bacterium. RNAcentral's name for it is "partial 16S ribosomal RNA". It matches the Rfam family "Bacterial small subunit ribosomal RNA", at positions 96 to 334 of the family's 1533-position model. The record is from RNAcentral.